AAGUCGUAACAAGUUUUCCGUAGGUGAACCUGCGGAAGGAUCAUUAACAACGUUAACCCCCCUGUUGCUCGUACGCUUUGUUAGAAAGUAGCAAUCCCUGGUAAAUCAUCGCCAAACAGUUUUGAUUCAGGGAUCUCUGCGAAGAGUGUGCAUGUUGCGCGAGGUAAGUGGCCUGGCAUCCCCAAGGAGUUAUUGGCUGAAAGUGUCAACUGGCGCAGUCACGAUCGUUGGAGGCCGACACGGCAGACGACCGGGUCACCGGGCUCACGCCCCCUUAUCACAACACCCAUGCAUGAAGACGCGCCUGUGCUAAAAGCGACCAAAAACUGUUAACAAUGGAUAUCUUGGUUC
This 351-nucleotide unclassified non-coding RNA is filed under the name fungal sp. RNAcentral describes it as "partial internal transcribed spacer region". The stretch from base 1 to 46 matches the Rfam family "Eukaryotic small subunit ribosomal RNA", at positions 1786 to 1831 of the family's 1831-position model. The record is from RNAcentral. Lineage: Eukaryota; Fungi.